RNAcentral lists this ribosomal RNA (464 nucleotides) under uncultured bacterium. Its description in RNAcentral is "bacterial SSU rRNA". It matches the Rfam family "Bacterial small subunit ribosomal RNA", at positions 335 to 793 of the family's 1533-position model. The record is from RNAcentral.
ACUCCUACGGGGAGGCACAGUGGGGAAUAUNCACAAUGGGNGCAAGCCUGAUGCAGCCAUGCCGCGUGUAUGAANAAGGCCUUCGGGUUGUAAAGUACUUUCAGCAGUGAGGAAGGUGGGUAUGUUAAUAGCAUAUUCAUUGACGUUAGCUGCAGAAGAAGCACCGGCUAACUCCGUGCCAGCAGCCGCGGUAAUACGGAGGGUGCGAGCGUUAAUCGGAAUUACUGGGCGUAAAGCGCAUGCAGGUGGUUUGUUAAGUCAGAUGUGAAAGCCCGGGGCUCAACCUCGGAAUUGCAUUUGAAACUGGCAAACUAGAGUACUGUAGAGGGGGGUAGAAUUUCAGGUGUAGCGGUGAAAUGCGUAGAGAUCUGAAGGAAUACCGGUGGCGAAGGCGGCCCCCUGGACAGAUACUGACACUCAGAUGCGAAAGCGUGGGGAGCAAACAGGAUUAGAUACCCUGGUAG